RNAcentral lists this ribosomal RNA (405 nucleotides) under uncultured bacterium. Its description in RNAcentral is "partial 16S ribosomal RNA". It matches the Rfam family "Bacterial small subunit ribosomal RNA", at positions 29 to 526 of the family's 1533-position model. The record is from RNAcentral.
AUUGAACGCUGGCGGCAGGCUUAACACAUGCAAGUCGAGCGAGCGGCGGACGGGUGAGUAAUGUCUGGGAAACUGCCUGAUGGAGGGGGAUAACUACUGGAAACGGUAGCUAAUACCGCAUACCAUCGGAUGUGCCCAGAUGGGAUUAGCUAGUAGGUGGGGUAAAGGCUCACCUAGGCGACGAUCCCUAGCUGGUCUGCGAGGAUGACCAGCAAAACGGGAACUGAGACACGGUCCAGACUCCGACGGGGGGCAGAAGUGGGGAAUAUUGCACAAUGGGGGAAGGCCUGAUGCAGCCAGGCGGCGUGGAUGAAGAAGGCCUGCGGGUUGUAAAGUACGUUCAGCGGGGAGGCGUUACCAGCAGAAGAAGCACCGGCUAACUCCGUGCCAGCACCGCGGUAAUAC